Molecule: ribosomal RNA, 1037 nt
Filed under: Salmonella enterica
Lineage: Bacteria; Pseudomonadati; Pseudomonadota; Gammaproteobacteria; Enterobacterales; Enterobacteriaceae
Description: partial 23S ribosomal RNA
Rfam family: Bacterial large subunit ribosomal RNA
Source: RNAcentral
ACCCGAAUGGGGAAACCCAGUGUGACUCGUCACACUAUCAUUAACUGAAUCCAUAGGUUAAUGAGGCGAACCGGGGGAACUGAAACAUCUAAGUACCCCGAGGAAAAGAAAUCAACCGAGAUUCCCCCAGUAGCGGCGAGCGAACGGGGAGGAGCCCAGAGCCUGAAUCAGCAUGUGUGUUAGUGGAAGCGUCUGGAAAGGCGCGCGAUACAGGGUGACAGCCCCGUACACAAAAGCGCAUGUGCUGUGAGCUCGAUGAGUAGGGCGGGACACGUGGUAUCCUGUCUGAAUAUGGGGGGACCAUCCUCCAAGGCUAAAUACUCCUGACUGACCGAUAGUGAACCAGUACCGUGAGGGAAAGGCGAAAAGAACCCCGGCGAGGGGAGUGAAAAAGAACCUGAAACCGUGUACGUACAAGCAGUGGGAGCACCCUUUGGGGUGUGACUGCGUACCUUUUGUAUAAUGGGUCAGCGACUUAUAUUCUGUAGCAAGGUUAACCGUAUAGGGGAGCCGGAGGGAAACCGAGUCUUAACCGGGCGUUAAGUUGCAGGGUAUAGACCCGAAACCCGGUGAUCUAGCCAUGGGCAGGUUGAAGGUUGGGUAACACUAACUGGAGGACCGAACCGACUAAUGUUGAAAAAUUAGCGGAUGACCUGUGGCUGGGGGUGAAAGGCCAAUCAAACCGGGAGAUAGCUGGUUCUCCCCGAAAGCUAUUUAGGUAGCGCCUCGUGAAUUCAUCUCCGGGGGUAGAGCACUGUUUCGGCUAGGGGGCCAUCCCGGCUUACCAACCCGAUGCAAACUGCGAAUACCGGAGAAUGUUAUCACGGGAGACACACGGCGGGUGCUAACGUCCGUCGUGAAGAGGGAAACAACCCAGACCGCCAGCUAAGGUCCCAAAGUCAUGGUUAAGUGGGAAACGAUGUGGGAAGGCCCAGACAGCCAGGAUGUUGGCUUAGAAGCAGCCAUCAUUUAAAGAAAGCGUAAUAGCUCACUGGUCGAGUCGGCCUGCGCGGAAGAUGUAACGGGGCUAAACCAUG